Molecule: transfer RNA, 72 nt
Filed under: Sus scrofa (pig)
Lineage: Eukaryota; Metazoa; Chordata; Mammalia; Artiodactyla; Suidae
Rfam family: tRNA
About the family: Transfer RNA (tRNA) molecules are approximately 80 nucleotides in length. Their secondary structure includes four short double-helical elements and three loops (D, anti-codon, and T loops).
Source: Rfam by way of RNAcentral
UCCCUGGUGGUCUAGUGGUUAGGACUCUGUGCUUUUACCACUGCAGUCUAGGCUCAAUUCCUGGUCUGGAAA